CCUACGGGUGGCAGCAGUGAGGAAUCUUGGUCAAUGGCCGAGAGGCUGAACCAGCCAAGUCGCGUGAGGGAAGACGGCCCUACGGGUUGUAAACCUCUUUUGUCGGGGAGUAAAGCGAGUCACGUGUGACUCUUUGAGAGUACCCGAAGAAAAAGCAUCGGCUAACUCCGUGCCAGCAGCCGCGGUACUACGGAGGUUGCGAGCGUUAUCCGGAUUUAUUGGGGUUAAAGGGUGCGCAGGCGGAGGUGCAAGUCAGCGGUCAAAGUGCGGGGCUCAACCCCGUACUGCCGUGGAAACUGGAUCCCUUGAGUGCGCGAGAAGUAUGCGGAAUGCGUGGUGUAGCGGUGAAAUGCUUAGAUAUCACGCAGAACUCCGAUUGCGAAGGCAGCAUACCGGCGCGGAACUGACGCUCAUGCACGAAAGCGUGGGUAUCGAACAGGAUUAGAUACCCUUGUAGUC
This 459-nucleotide ribosomal RNA is filed under the name uncultured bacterium. Its description in RNAcentral is "partial 16S ribosomal RNA". It matches the Rfam family "Bacterial small subunit ribosomal RNA", at positions 338 to 795 of the family's 1533-position model. The record is from RNAcentral.